CUUGGAUUUAUUGAAUUUGGAAGAAAACUUCAAAAUUGCCAUUGCUAAUCUUUACUAAAAUCUUUUAGAAAAUUAUGAUUUUAAUUCCUUCUAAAUCAUAUGAGAUGAUUUUAGGUGAACUCAUAGGCUUUCAACCAACUCUUAUAGCAAUGACUAAUAACCUCUAAAUUAUUAAAACUAACUAAAUUUCUAUUCUAAUUUUCUAAAUCUUAUUACUUUGGUCCUAAUUAAUCCAAUUCAAGGAAUUAGGCUAGGAUUUAUACUAUCAAAGGUUAUAAUCCUCAAAACUCUACAAAACUAGACUUUGCCUAUAUAAAUCAUAAUCUAACUUAUUCAAUUACCAUAAAAUAAGAAAAAAUAAUUUAAAUUUAAAUUUUGGAGCAUAAUUGAAUGCUUUCACCAAUAAAAAUAGAGAUUUUUAUCAUCCAUCUCCAUUCAUCCAUUUGAUUGGCCUAACUAUUCUUUUUUACAUAAAAAUCCUUAUUUAAUUCUUUUUUCAAUAAAUUUUACAUGAUAUGUGCUCUAAAUAUCAAAUAAAAAAAAACAAGAUUUUAAGAGUCACCAAUGUCUAAUAAAGAUGAUUAUAAAUAUAUAAAAACUAUUAUCAACAUAAAAUCAA
This 619-nucleotide long non-coding RNA is filed under the name Physcomitrium patens. RNAcentral describes it as "long non-coding RNA (PPAT_LNC012065)". The record is from RNAcentral. Lineage: Eukaryota; Viridiplantae; Streptophyta; Bryopsida; Funariales; Funariaceae.